This 497-nucleotide ribosomal RNA is filed under the name uncultured bacterium. Its description in RNAcentral is "partial 16S ribosomal RNA". It matches the Rfam family "Bacterial small subunit ribosomal RNA", at positions 28 to 507 of the family's 1533-position model. The record is from RNAcentral.
GACGAACGCUGGCGGCGUGCCUAAUACAUGCAAGUUGAGCGCUGAAGGUUGGUACUUGUACCAACUGGAUGAGCAGCGAACGGGUGAGUAACGCGUGGGGAAUCUGCCUUUGAGCGGGGGACAACAUUUGGAAACGAAUGCUAAUACCGCAUAAAAACUUUAAACACAAGUUUUAAGUUUGAAAGAUGCAAUUGCAUCACUCAAAGAUGAUCCCGCGUUGUAUUAGCUAGUUGGUGAGGUAAAGGCUCACCAGGGCGAUGAUACAUAGCCGACCUGAGAGGGUGGUCGGCAACAUUGGGACUGGGACACGGCCCAAACUCCUACGGGAGGCAGCAGUAGGGAAUCUUCGGCAAUGGACGAAAGUCUGACCGAGCAACGCCGCGUGAGUGAAGAAGGUUUUCGGAUCGUAAAACUCUGUUGGUAGAGAAGAACGUUGGUGAGAGUGGAAAGCUCAUCAAGUGACGGUAACUACCCAGAAAGGGACGGCUAACUACGUG